ACAAUCCCAACAAGGACUGCUGUUGAGACGCAGUGCACACGGACAAGAAACUACCUGGAAAAAGAAAACUAGCUAGCAUCACAAACUGAUAGUAAUAGCUUAUUUUGCUCGAUUAUUUAGAGAAACUACAAAUAAAACACAUCAUUCUGGAAGACAAUUGUCUAAGAAAAUUAUGGCAUCUAAGCGAUUAUCAGCAAGUGCUUCCAAAAUGCAAAUAAAACAAAUCAUUUUGAGUGCCAAUCUAAGAAAUUUUUUAUAAAUCUCAACAUUUAAUCAUAUUGUAUCUUUUCUGCAUUUUGGCUGCAGCCAUUCUUACAAGAAAAUCUUCCUCAAAUGUGAUUUGAAACUUUUAACAGGAAAAAGCAGAAUUGAAAAACUUCUUAACCUGUUUCCUUCUUUCCAAGAUGAUAUGAAUUGUUUCUUUUAGUAGCAAGGGAUCUCCAUCAGGGCCAGCAAUAUCAUCGAGCAAAACAUCUCCAGCAUCAUACCUGGAUAUUGGAACAAGGAGAAAGAUGAAAAAAAGUAAGCUAACACACAAUCAUCGGGAUGUGAGGAUGAAGUCAUCGUCCUAUUUAUAAGCGACUAAAACAAAAAGCCACUAGGAAAUGAGUGACAAACUAGUUCGGAGAAAAGGGAGGUUAAAGA
RNAcentral lists this long non-coding RNA (645 nucleotides) under Gossypium barbadense (sea-island cotton). Its description in RNAcentral is "long non-coding RNA (GBAR_LNC017511)". The record is from RNAcentral. Lineage: Eukaryota; Viridiplantae; Streptophyta; Magnoliopsida; Malvales; Malvaceae.